Molecule: microRNA precursor, 110 nt
Organism: Medicago truncatula (barrel medic)
Lineage: Eukaryota; Viridiplantae; Streptophyta; Magnoliopsida; Fabales; Fabaceae
Rfam family: MIR5284 microRNA precursor family
Source: Rfam
CUUUAAUUUCAGAUUACUCCACGUUUGGUCCUCAUUUUACGUGUCAUGUAUGCAGAUUCUGCUGACGUGGUGAAAUGAGGGACCAAAAGUGGAAGAAUUUGAAAUUACAG